UUGCCCUACGGGAGGCAGCAGUGGGGAAUAUUGCACAAUGGGGGAAACCCUGAUGCAGCAACGCCGCGUGGGCGAAGAAGUAUUUCGGUAUGUAAGGCCCUAUCAGCAGGGAAGAAGAAAUGACGGUACCUGAGUAAGAAGCACCGGCUAAAUACGUGCCAGCAGCCGCGGUAAUACGUAUGGUGCAAGCGUUAUCCGGAUUUACUGGGUGUAAAGGGAGCGCAGGCGGCACGGCAAGCCUGAUGUGAAAGCCCGCGGCCCAACCGCGGGACUGCAUUGGGAACUACCGCGCUGGAGUGCCGGGG
RNAcentral lists this ribosomal RNA (305 nucleotides) under uncultured bacterium. RNAcentral's name for it is "bacterial SSU rRNA". It matches the Rfam family "Bacterial small subunit ribosomal RNA", at positions 334 to 654 of the family's 1533-position model. The record is from RNAcentral.